Small nucleolar RNA from Drosophila busckii, 139 nucleotides. It matches the Rfam family "Small nucleolar RNA snoR639/H1". From Rfam's summary of the family: snoR639 or snoH1 belongs to the H/ACA class of snoRNAs which are thought to guide the sites of modification of uridines to pseudouridines. snoH1 is found in an intron of the mfl gene in Drosophila. NCBI's taxonomy places the organism in Eukaryota, Metazoa, Arthropoda, Insecta, Diptera, Drosophilidae. The record is from Rfam.
ACCCCAAGAUAUUAAGCCGGCAAGCGAUUGUAAUUUAACCAGCAACGUUUGUGACUAUGACUGGGAACAUAAACCGCUGCUGAUGUGUGUAUGUUGGGAGCCUCUCUAUGGCAUUCAACAAAGUUAUUUUCAGACGACA